This 217-nucleotide ribosomal RNA is filed under the name uncultured bacterium. Its description in RNAcentral is "partial 16S ribosomal RNA". It matches the Rfam family "Bacterial small subunit ribosomal RNA", at positions 524 to 735 of the family's 1533-position model. The record is from RNAcentral.
UACAGAGGGGGCAAGCGUUGUUCGGAAUUGACUGGGCGUAAAGGGCGCGUAGGCGGCCUGCUAAGUCGAACGUGAAAUCCCUGGGCUCAACCCAGGAACUGCGUCCGAUACUGGUUGGCUUGAAUCCGGGAGAGGGAUGUGGAAUUCCAGGUGGUAGCGGUGAAAUGCGUAGAUAUACUGGGAGGAAUACCGGUGGCGAAGGCGGCAUCCUGGGACC